AGAAUCAACGCUGGCGGCGUGCCUAACACAUGCAAGUCGCACGAGAAAGGGGAGCAAUCCCUGAGUAAAGUGGCGCACGGGUGAGUAACACGUGAAUAAUCUACCUCCGAGUGGGGAAUAACUGAGAGAAAUCUUAGCUAAUACCGCAUAACACUUACGAGUCAAAGUCGCAAGACGCCGGAGGAGGAGCCUGCGCCCGAUUAGCUAGUUGGUGAGGUAAGAGCUCACCAAGGCGACGAUCGGUAGCUGGUCUGAGAGGAUGAUCAGCCACACUGGGAUUGGAGAACGGCCCAGACUCCUACGGGGGCAGCAGUGAGGAAUUUUCGUCAAUGGGGGCAACCCUGAACGAGCAACGCCGCGUGCAGGAAGACACUUUUCGGAGCGUAAACUGCUUUUCUCGGGGACGAGUAAGGACGGUACCCGAGGAAUCAGCCCCGGCUAACGUACGUGCCAGCAGCCGC
Molecule: ribosomal RNA, 461 nt
Filed under: uncultured bacterium
Lineage: Bacteria
Description: SSU rRNA
Rfam family: Bacterial small subunit ribosomal RNA
Source: RNAcentral